UACGUAGGGGCCUAGCGUUGUCCGGAUUUAUUGGGCGUAAAGAGCUCGUAGGCGGUUUGGUGAGUCGGGUGUGAAAUCUCCACGCUCAACGUGGAGGGGCCACCCGAUACUGCCAUGACUAGAGUCCGGUAGGGGAGUGUGGAAUUCCCGGUGUAGCGGUGAAAUGCGUAGAUAUCGAGAGGAACACCUGCGGCGAAGGCGGGUUGCUGGGCCGACACUGACGCUGAUGCGCGAAAGCCAGGGGAGCGAACGGG
RNAcentral lists this ribosomal RNA (254 nucleotides) under uncultured bacterium. RNAcentral's name for it is "partial 16S ribosomal RNA". It matches the Rfam family "Bacterial small subunit ribosomal RNA", at positions 524 to 776 of the family's 1533-position model. The record is from RNAcentral.